UUUGAUAAUAAGGUAUAUUCAUUUAAAAAUAUAAAUUCCAGACUGAAAAUAAGUUGACAUGAUGGCAAGGGGUCACCCUGAAGAAGAGUACUCAGCGAUGUUGGAACCUUAUAAUGAAGAUGGCAAAACCUUCAAUGGAAAUAAUCAAUCACAGCCUCUAAUAGAAGGAUCGUCUGUGGAUGAAAAACUUACACAUUUGGUUGAAUGUGUUAAAAAUAUGACUAUUUUGUAUUCGUUAGAUCACCGCGAUUGGAAUGAAAAAGUGAUUGAUAUGAUACGCCUCUGGUUGACACAAGUUAAUGAACCAAUACUUUCAAUAUUUUACGAUGGCAAUGUCCUUACAGGUUGCCUUGGUUUUCCAGUCGCCCCGGUCUUAGAUCUCAGCUACUUCAUUCGUUCACCAAGCCACAUAUUAACUACAGAGUCGUUUUAUGACGUAGUACAUUUUGGAACAAUUCAUGAUGAUGUUGAUGGAUGCCUUCUACGUAUUUUGGAAUGUAUAUAUGCUCCAAUUUUUCGUAAUUUUACAGAAUGGGGUGAUAAUGUUAAGCAACGUUUUUGUACUGCUCUGGAUAGAUUUCUUGGCUUUUUAACUGGAAUAUAUUUUAAAAUGUCCGGAAUGACAGUCUUAUAUGUCCCAUAUGUUGUUAAGCAAAUAGAAAAAGAAAGCAUUUCCUAUGAUAGAGAAUUUGUGAAGAAUUUGGAGGCCAUAGCAGUUUCUUGGGCCACACAAAUACGUACUCUUUUAAAUGAUAAGACAUUGACUGUAUCUAAUGAAUUUGUGAGUGUUGAGGAUGAGUACGAAUUUUGGCUCUAUCGCU
This is a long non-coding RNA of Drosophila ananassae, 821 nucleotides long. RefSeq lists it as uncharacterized. The transcript has 2 exons. The record is from RefSeq and is a predicted model, not a curated record. NCBI's taxonomy places the organism in Eukaryota, Metazoa, Arthropoda, Insecta, Diptera, Drosophilidae.